CGCAUUCAGUUGCCAUCGGGUAAUGCCGGGCACUCUGGAAGGACUGCCAUCGACAAGAUGGAGGAAGUGGGGAGUGACGUCAAGUCAUCAUGGCCCUUAUGUCCAGGGCGACACACGUGCUACAAUGGCCGGCACAACGGGAAGCGAGUUCGCGAGGACGAGCGGAAUCCCUUAAAGCCGGUCGCAGUUCGGAUUGAAGUCUGCAACUCGACUUCAUGAAGCUGGAAUCGCUAGUAAUCGUGGAUCAGCCAAGCCGCGGUGAAUACGUUCCCGGGCCUU
This 279-nucleotide ribosomal RNA is filed under the name uncultured Synergistaceae bacterium. RNAcentral describes it as "partial 16S ribosomal RNA". It matches the Rfam family "Bacterial small subunit ribosomal RNA", at positions 1106 to 1382 of the family's 1533-position model. Lineage: Bacteria; Thermotogati; Synergistota; Synergistia; Synergistales; Synergistaceae. The record is from RNAcentral.